Molecule: ribosomal RNA, 680 nt
Filed under: Streptomyces hyderabadensis
Lineage: Bacteria; Bacillati; Actinomycetota; Actinomycetes; Kitasatosporales; Streptomycetaceae
Description: bacterial SSU rRNA
Rfam family: Bacterial small subunit ribosomal RNA
Source: RNAcentral
CGAACGGGUGAGUAACACGUGGGCAAUCUGCCCUGCACUCUGGGACAAGCCCUGGAAACGGGGUCUAAUACCGGAUAUGACCCUCGCAGGCAUCUGUGAGGGUGUAAAGCUCCGGCGGUGCAGGAUGAGCCCGCGGCCUAUCAGCUUGUUGGUGAGGUAACGGCUCACCAAGGCGACGACGGGUAGCCGGCCUGAGAGGGCGACCGGCCACACUGGGACUGAGACACGGCCCAGACUCCUACGGGAGGCAGCAGUGGGGAAUAUUGCACAAUGGGCGAAAGCCUGAUGCAGCGACGCCGCGUGAGGGAUGACGGCCUUCGGGUUGUAAACCUCUUUCAGCAGGGAAGAAGCGAAAGUGACGGUACCUGCAGAAGAAGCGCCGGCUAACUACGUGCCAGCAGCCGCGGUAAUACGUAGGGCGCAAGCGUUGUCCGGAAUUAUUGGGCGUAAAGAGCUCGUAGGCGGCUUGUCACGUCGGUUGUGAAAGCCCGGGGCUUAACCCCGGGUCUGCAGUCGAUACGGGCAGGCUAGAGUUCGGUAGGGGAGAUCGGAAUUCCUGGUGUAGCGGUGAAAUGCGCAGAUAUCAGGAGGAACACCGGUGGCGAAGGCGGAUCUCUGGGCCGAUACUGACGCUGAGGAGCGAAAGCGUGGGGAGCGAACAGGAUUAGAUACCCUGGUAG